GCCCACUAGCUAGCCUAACAACCUCAAAGCAACAAACCCCAUUAAGUAACCCCAAAAAAACUAAAUAGAUUAAAACAAAUCAUUUUUCCUCUCUAGUAUGUGCGACAGAAAAAGAACACCAGCGCCAUAGAAAAAGUACCGCAAGGGAACGCUGAAAGAGAAAUGAAACAACUCAGUUAAGCAUAAAAAAGCAGAGAUU
This 199-nucleotide ribosomal RNA is filed under the name Nemipterus marginatus. Its description in RNAcentral is "partial 16S ribosomal RNA". Lineage: Eukaryota; Metazoa; Chordata; Actinopteri; Spariformes; Nemipteridae. The record is from RNAcentral.